Molecule: ribosomal RNA, 255 nt
Filed under: uncultured bacterium
Lineage: Bacteria
Description: partial 16S ribosomal RNA
Rfam family: Bacterial small subunit ribosomal RNA
Source: RNAcentral
UACGUAGGGGGCAAGCGUUGUCCGGAAUCAUUGGGCGUAAAGAGCGUGUAGGCGGUUCGGUAAGUCGGCUGUGAAAGUCCAGGGCUCAACCCCUGGGAUGCCGGUCGAUACUGCCCGGACUAGAGUUCGGAAGAGGCGAGUGGAAUUCCCGGUGUAGCGGUGAAAUGCGCAGAUAUCGGGAGGAACACCUAUGGCGAAGGCAGCUCGCUGGGACGUUACUGACGCUGAGACGCGAAAGCGUGGGGAGCAAACAGG